This 253-nucleotide ribosomal RNA is filed under the name uncultured bacterium. Its description in RNAcentral is "partial 16S ribosomal RNA". It matches the Rfam family "Bacterial small subunit ribosomal RNA", at positions 524 to 776 of the family's 1533-position model. The record is from RNAcentral.
UACAGAGGUCUCAAGCGUUGUUCGGAUUCAUUGGGCGUAAAGAGCGUGUAGGCGGCCAGAUAGGUCCGUUGUGAAAACUGGAGGCUUAACCUCCAGCUGUCGAUGGAAACCAUCUGGCUAGAGUCCGGAAGAGGAGAGUGGAAUUCCUGGUGUAGCGGUGAAAUGCGCAGAUAUCAGGAAGAACACCCGUGGCGAAGGCGGCUCUCUGGGACGGUACUGACGCUGAGACGCGAAAGCGUGGGGAGCGAACAGG